GCUUUACUGUAACUUGAAAUUGAAAUUGGACUUUAUUUGCGCAGUAUAGGUGGGAGGCGUUGAGAAUAUUCUUGCGGGAAUAUUGGAGCCAUCAGUGAGAUACCACUCUUGUAAUGUUAGAUUUCUAACUUUGGAUCAUUAUCUGGUCAAAGAACAGUUUCAGGCGGGCAGUUUGACUGGGGCGGUCGCCUCCUAAACGGUAACGGAGGCGUACAAAGGUUUCCUCUGAACGGGUAGAAAUCGUAUCUAGAGUGUAAAGGCAUAAGGAAGCUUGACUGUGAGACCUACAAGUCGAGCAGGGACGAAAGUCGGUCUUAGUGAUCUGACGGUGCUG
RNAcentral lists this ribosomal RNA (334 nucleotides) under Sellaphora pupula. RNAcentral describes it as "bacterial LSU rRNA". It matches the Rfam family "Bacterial large subunit ribosomal RNA", at positions 2098 to 2431 of the family's 2925-position model. The record is from RNAcentral. RNAcentral also lists the same sequence under 3 other names. Lineage: Eukaryota; Bacillariophyta; Bacillariophyceae; Sellaphorales; Sellaphoraceae.